GACGAACGCUGGCGGCGCGCUUAACACAUGCAAGUCGAACGGAAAGGCCUGCUUUCCCUUGUGGAUUGCGGGUACUCGAGUGGCGAACGGGUGAGUAACACGUGAGUGAUCUGCCCCCAACUUGGGUAUAAGCCUGGGAAACUGGGUCUAAUUCCCGAUAGGACUGCAGGGUGGUGCCUGUGGUGGAACACGAUUUUCUAGUGGUUGGGGAUGAGCUCGCGGCCUAUCAGCUUGUUGGUGGGGUAAUGGCCUACCAAGGCGGCGACGGGUAGCCGGCCUGGGAGGGUGGACGGACACAUUGGGACUGAGAUACGGCCCAGACUCCGACGGGAGGCAGCAGUGGGGAAUAUGGCACAAUGGGCGGAAGCCUGAUGCAGCGACGCCGCGUGGGGGAUGACGGCCUUCGGGUUGUAAACUCCUUUCGACCGCGAGGAAGCCACCUGGUUGGAAGGGUGGUGACGGUAGUGGUAGAAGAAGCACCGGCUAACUACGUG
This 494-nucleotide ribosomal RNA is filed under the name uncultured bacterium. RNAcentral's name for it is "partial 16S ribosomal RNA". It matches the Rfam family "Bacterial small subunit ribosomal RNA", at positions 28 to 507 of the family's 1533-position model. The record is from RNAcentral.